Molecule: long non-coding RNA, 604 nt
Organism: Lolium rigidum
Lineage: Eukaryota; Viridiplantae; Streptophyta; Magnoliopsida; Poales; Poaceae
Exons: 5
Source: RefSeq, a predicted model, not a curated record
UGGGCAGUGGGAGGUGUAUAGGCUCUUUCUUUAUUUCAUACUCAUGUGAUUUGAAUCUGUAUAGCUGGAUGUUGUAUUUUUUCCAGCUCGCUAAAAUGAUUGAGUUUUUCUUCUGGUUUCCUGCUAUUUCUUGCAGUUUGGACAUGGAUUUAGUGAGGAAAAGAAUCACGGAAAUACAGGUGGAUUGAAGAAGUCAGGCGACCAUGAAAGGAAAGAUUGUUUGGACGCACACUCCUAUUUGGUGAAAUGCAGAAUGGAAGAUGGGAGCUUGCUAUCUGAACAGAAUACGAGAAUGGAUAUCGAAGAGUGAGACAACUUGCUGAUAAAAUGAUCAAGUUUUGCAAAGAAAAGGAAAAUAGGGAAUCAAAUAAUGGCUUAGCAUAUAUUUUGUGGAAGGUGAUCCGGGCUACAUAUCUUCAUCUUAUGAACAUGAAAUGUGUGAUCGGCACUGGAAGAUCUGAUCUAGAGAGAUCUUCAGAGAGAAUACAAAUGAGAAGGAGAUAGAAUUUGCAUGAUCAGGAGAGAACAUCCUAUAGUAUACCUAUUCUGAAAUUCAAGAUAGCAUAUUAUUGGUUCUUUGUCUCGAUGUAUAUUUUUCUGCCCU